This 425-nucleotide ribosomal RNA is filed under the name uncultured bacterium. Its description in RNAcentral is "bacterial SSU rRNA". It matches the Rfam family "Bacterial small subunit ribosomal RNA", at positions 354 to 776 of the family's 1533-position model. The record is from RNAcentral.
GUGGGGAAUAUUGGACAAUGGGGGCAACCCUGAUCCAGCGACGCCGCGUGGAGGAUGAAGGUUUUCGGAUUGUAAACUCCUUUUGGAGGGGAAGAAACUGCCGUUUAAUACACGGCCCUGACGGUACCCUCAGAAAAAGCCACGGCUAACUACGUGCCAGCAGCCGCGGUAAUACGUAGGUGGCGAGCGUUACUCGGAAUUACUAGGCGUAAAGAGCAUGUAGGUGGCUGGUCAAGUCUGUUGUGAAAUCUCUAUGCUUAACAUAGAGCUGCCAAUGGAUACUGAUUGGCUUGAGUUUGGGAGGGGUAACUGGAAUUCCCGGUGUAGCGGUGAAAUGCGUAGAUAUCGGGAAGAACACCAAUGGCGAAAGCAGGUUACUGGACCAAUACUGACACUGAGAUGCGAAAGCUAGGGGAGCAAACAGG